CCCCCGCAGCAAGGCGCUGCCGGACCGGGCGGUGGUGAACUGCCAGUACAGCGUGGCCACCUUCAGCACCAGCGAGCGCCAGCGCCGGCCCCACGGCGACCGCAAGGCCAGCGAGAUGUCCCUGCACCUCAAGCAGACCUUCGAGGCCGCCAUCCUCACACAGCUCUUCCCACGCUCCCAGAUCGACAUCUACGUGCAGGUGGGGACGGGGACGGGGACACGGGGACGGGGAUAUGGGGACAGGACAGGGACAUGGGGACGGAGACAUGGGGAUGGGAACAGGAUGGGGACAUGGGGAUGGGGACAUGGGGACGGGAUGGGGACAUGGGGAUGGGGACAGGGGGGGGGGGGGGGGGGGGGCGGGGAGGGGGGGGGGGGACAGUUCCUCAAUGGGGGAUGAGGAUGGGGAGGGGAUAGAAAGGGACGGAAAAAGGGAAGGGGAAAGGGAAAGGAAAAUUAAAAGGAAGGAAGGGAAGGGAAAGGAGAAAGGAAAGGGGAAAGGGAAAAGGAAAGGGGAAAGAGAAGAAAAAAGGGAGGGGAAGGGAAAGGCAAGGCAAGGAAAAGAAACAAAAGGAAAAAGGGAAGGGAAAGGAAAGGAAAGGAAAAAGGGAAGGGAAAAAGAAGGAAAGGGAAAGGAAAAAGAAGAAAAGAAAGGAAGGGAAGGGAAAAGGGAACGAAAAAGGGAGGGAAAGGAAAGAGGAAAUGGGAAGGGAAGGGGAAAGAGAAGGGAAAAAGAAGGGAAGGGAAAGGAAGGGAAGAGAUGGGAAGGGAAAGGAAAGAGAAGGAAAGGAAAAGGGAAAAGAAACA
This 807-nucleotide long non-coding RNA is filed under the name Anas platyrhynchos platyrhynchos (common mallard). Its description in RNAcentral is "lncRNA (ENSAPLG00000019015.1)". Lineage: Eukaryota; Metazoa; Chordata; Aves; Anseriformes; Anatidae. The record is from RNAcentral.